RNAcentral lists this transfer RNA (541 nucleotides) under uncultured Prochlorococcus sp. Its description in RNAcentral is "partial 16S-23S ribosomal RNA intergenic spacer". The stretch from base 210 to 282 matches the Rfam family "tRNA". The record is from RNAcentral. Lineage: Bacteria; Bacillati; Cyanobacteriota; Cyanophyceae; Synechococcales; Prochlorococcaceae.
CAGGGAGACAACAAAAUGUUAAAUAUUAAUUUUGUCACCUUAGGUCGAUCGGUAUCUCACAUUCUUAAUUCAUUAAGGAUUUCACUUCCUAAGUUUUUUCUAGGUCACACCCAUCACUUUCCUGGGCCAUUAGCUCAGGUGGUUAGAGCGCACCCCUGAUAAGGGUGAGGUCCCUGGUUCAAGUCCAGGAUGGCCCAUAUCUCUAUGUUGGGGGUAUAGCUCAGUUGGUAGAGCGCCUGCUUUGCAAGCAGGAUGUCAGCGGUUCGAGUCCGCUUACCUCCACUGAUUACCACCUCUUCCAUAAUUUUCAGAAGGGAAAUGUUUUGAGAUGUGACCAAUUUCUGAACGAAUUCAGCUUCCUAAUCAAAUUUAUUAAGAUGCUGGACUCAUUGAAUUAAUUUCAUUGUUUUCAGAGAACCUUGACAACUGCAUAGAUUAUUUUUAAAGACAAUAAGCAUCUUUUAAUGAUGCAGAUUUAUUAUUUGUGCAAAUGCAUUAAUAACAAUUCUAUUAAGCUGAUGCUUCAAUUUUUGAAGUUAUU